UGUCCCGCUACCUCAAACUCGCUGAGAUACAAUGACUGUGCUGAACCCAGCUCUGCCCAAGCAACAGAGGCAGGAAAAGCUCAUAUGGUGACCGUGUUAAAUGACAAUUAGCUGGGCAAAGGCCACCAUCACGCUGACUGGUCAAGCUAUAGGUCGACCUGGACUAUAACUGGUAUGGUGACCCACCACAAUUGGGACCAGGAUCCCCACCACCAUGACGACUUGAGAACCACGGAUCAACGGGAUGCCGCCGAACUCCAGAGGACUGUCGGAACACGGUUGGGCCUGUGAUGGUGACUGUACUCUUGCUGUGCUCCAUAAUACUGCUUCUCCUUUCUGCCUUUCCUCGUCUCAGUGACUAUUGCUGGGGAAUAACAAUAGAGCUACAGUGAUCGGCAUCUAACCUCGUUUGUGUCUGAAUCUCACGCUUGGAAUCAUUGCAAACCUCUCCUGGGCCUAACAGUUGGACUGGGAUGUAAAAUGGUAUCUCACUGGUGUUCUCCUGUUGGCUCCUUCCAUAACCUCAGGAGCCCUUUCCUCAUCUCUCUAAGACUUCAAGUGUGCUCCCGUGUACCCAGCAUGCAUCAGAGCAACAGGCUGAGGGCCCUCAUUAGCACCCCAUCCUUCUACCUUGGUGUGUUCUCCUUCUGUGGUGACUACACAGGCAAGCCUGAUAUUGUCCCGCUCCCCCUUCAAGCCUAGUAGAAGGCUCUGUCAAUGAGCUCCACUUACUCCUGAGCAAAGACCCCCUUCCCCGUUUCAGAAAGAUGACACCAGCAAGCCUCAUGCCGUGCAGGCCACCCCAAUCUCAAAAACCACAAAACUGUGCGGAUGACCCGAGCCACGGAGAUAUAGACUCUGUCGGUCUCUUUAUUCCAUGGUUGCUGCACACAACUGGAAAGAGAGAGGAGAAAAUACCCUGUGGUCCAGAUUCCCUUACCAACUGUCCUGAUGCACUGGAGUCUCUUUUGAUGGCUUUUGGAUUCUGUGUUGUGGCUUCAUGAUCCCCACGUGGAAGAGCAGUAAUGGGUAAUGGUCCGAGGUCCGUACCAGGCUGGGAAGUUUCCUGUGAUGUCCUUAACUUGGGCCCCAGGGAGGCAGCAGACUUCCCUAAGAGGAGGCUCUGCCUGGCAUAGUGGAGCCUCGGUUCCCCGCAGAAGGGAGUCGCCUACAACUCUAACCCAUUUCUCCUUCGUCGUCAAGGUGGCCGUGAUAUGGGAUGUAGGCCUUUCUGACCUCGGGCACACCUCUGGGGAAGAUGGACCGUCAUCCCCAUCUUCAUCCAUUGACUGGCCUUCCCCAUCCAGAGCCUCCUACCUGUGGUACAGAGGCACCUGGGAAGCCAGGGAGAGGAAGAUGAGUGCUCGCACCGCCUUCCAUGGGCUUUGCCUGGAAGGGAACCUGGGCAACGUGAUCAUCAUCGUGGAUGGUGUUGAAUUCGUUGCCCACAAGAUGAUCCUGUGUAGCUGCAGUCAAUACUUCAGGGCUUUGUUUUCCAGACACUGGAGCAAUGCCGAGAAGACCGUCUACAAAAUCCCCGGCACUUCCCCUGAAAUGAUGGGGCUCAUUAUCCAGUACGCCUACACCGGGACGGUGCCGGUCACGGCUGACAACGUUGUCAGUUUGCUGAUCGCCGCAGACCAGUUCAAUGUCCUGGGCAUCAUCAGGCUGUGCUGCGAGUUCCUGAAAUCCCAGCUCCACUUGGAAAACUGCAUCGGCAUCUGGAGAUUCACGGGCCACUACUACUGCCCUGACCUGCGAGAAGCAGCCCACGACUUCAUCCUGCGGCACUUCGAGGAGGUGACCAGGGCGUCCACAGAGCUCCUGGAGCUCUCCGUCAGCGACCUGGAGCGCCUCCUGGAGGAGAAGGAGGAGCUCCCUCUGAAAGAAGAGGCCGUGUUCGAGGCCCUUCUCAAAUGGCUUGCUCAUGACCUGCAGGCAAGGAGGCAGCACGUUGCAGUCUUGCUGGGCCAGGAAGGCUGGAGGAAUGGACAGAAGGGCUUUUUUUUCUUUAAAUAAACUCAGCGUUACUGACAGUUAAGACACUUUUGAACUCCUAGGUGCGCAAGGGUAUGCGUUUGUAGUUCCUAUUCCCUGUACUUACACGUCACUCUUCCAAAUCUGCAAGUGCCAUUUCUACCAGUUCCAUAUGAACUAGAUUGUCCCAGAAGGUCCUAUUGACCGACUCCUUGAGGAGCUGGAAGUUUGCUUUUCUCAAAUCCAGGGUCCUGACUUUCCUCUUCCCCCCGACACCCACACCCCUCAGGACUCUGAACUCCACCGGUGUCUGACCACUGCAGCCCAGGCUGCCUCCAAUCUUGAUCUCACCCGUUAGCUCAUUGGCGUUGGUGCCCAUCAGGUCCGGUAUGGCCUCUCCUCUGGUGGGGCUGUCUCUUACCUGGCUUAAGGAAUUCUCUUCCAGGCACUCUGCCGCGGGAGUCUCCGACAGCUCGCCGUGCUGCUUUUCUGGCAGCUGCGGGGCUGGUUGAAGCCCCCCAGCAGGACGAGAACCUGUGAGCGCGAUGCCUGCCGCUGUAGCUGGAGGAAGCAGGCGCUGCCAAGAGGCUCCCCUUGAUCGGGCGGCCUGUAGUAGACACCAGCCACAAGGCUGGGUUUCUUGCCUGGCUCUCUAAUUCUUACCCAUAAGCUUUCAACCUGCUCUUGGCUAUUCUUCAGAGACAGCUCUUCACGCUCCCUCUGUUUCUUGACCUAGAGGGCAGACCCUCUGCCCCUCCUUCCUUCCUUCCCCGUCACUGGCCAUCCAUCGCCACACUCCAGUCAUGGGAUUCGUCCCACCGAGUUUCAGUAUUGGCUAGUGGUCGUGAUAUGGGAUGUAGGCCUUUCUGACCUCGGGCACACCUCUGGGGAAGAUGGACCGUCAUCCCCAUCUUCAUCCAUUGACUGGCCUUCCCCAUCCAGAGCCUCCUACCUGUGGUACAGAGGCACCUGGGAAGGAAGGCUGGGCAAGGAGGGGGUUCUCCUGCCACCCUGCCUGUGGACUUGCCUCCAUUCACUCCUUUCCUUGAAGCUACUCUCUUCAGCCUGGUGGGGGGAGCUUGCAGGAUGCCCUUCACCUUCUUGGGUUUUUUUCUGGUGGCUGUUCCUGUUUCUGUCUCAGGGAGGGCAGAGCAAGAUGCCACCAGUCUAUCACUUCCUUGGACUCCCUGAUGACCCUAAAACCUCCCAAUACCCCUCUGUAGACAGCUCAAAACCAACUGGAGACCCCCGCAGCCCCUCCCAAAUCCCGUCAGGAGCCCCCAAAGUCCCAGAAACACCCUCUUAACCCCCUAAUCCCCCCCAGGACCCUCCUCAGUCCCACCCAUGGCACCAAAACCCCCCCAAUAUCCCCCAGAGGGAACCCCAAAACACCCAUGGGAACCCCACCAAGUUGGAUAGACCUGUACAGCUCUUCGUAUGUGGUCCUACCUGCUAGACUUGGGUAUUUUAUGGAGACUGCCAGGGGAGUUGCAUUUGUUCGUGGUGGCUGGGGUGGAAAAUGCAAAUGCUAAGUGGGAAGACAAUUAGGAGUCUGUUGCAGUUCAUGUAGCUCCAACAAAACUUGCAAUACUGUUGUGUUUGUGGCAUUUUUAGUGGCAUUGGUGGAAAGAGGCGGUUUUUGUGUUUUGAGGUUCCCUUCAGCCUUCUGCCUGGCUUUGCAAAUCUGCAGACACAGCUCUUCACUCUCCCUCCAUUUCUUGACCUAGAGGGCAUCCCCUCUGCCCCUCUUUCCUUCCCUGUUGCUGGCCAUUGAUCCUGAGGAGGACCCUUAAGGCUGACAGGGAACCUUACUGGAAACAGGUUCAGAAAAAGCGUGGAGAAUACUUUAUAACUAAAUGGGGAAAGGAGAGAAUUCCUUCUUGUUUUUUCACAGUCAUCUUUCCAGCAGUACUAUAAACAACAUGAGAGAGUUUAAUGAAUUUUCCCAAAUCCUUGAAGAAUUGCCGUGCAUCAGAAAUGUAGUUCUAGAUGAAGCCUAAUGCACAAGCAACAACCA
RNA transcript from Chroicocephalus ridibundus (black-headed gull), 3994 nucleotides. It is a transcript of the gene named kelch-like protein 10, with no coding region annotated. NCBI's taxonomy places the organism in Eukaryota, Metazoa, Chordata, Aves, Charadriiformes, Laridae. The record is from RefSeq and is a predicted model, not a curated record. The transcript has 4 exons.